AUGCUCCAAGCUCAUAAUCAAGCUACUCUUCUCCAUGGCGUAUCAUCCACAAACCGACGGCCAAACGCAGGUGACCAACCACACACUCACCGCUCUACUUCGAGUACUCAUCAAGAAGAACAUCAAGGAGUGGGAGGAGUGUCUACCUAUCACCGAGUUCGCCUACAACCGCGCAAGACUCUCAACAACCAGCAAGUCACCCUUCGAGGUCGUCUACGGAUUCAACCCUUUGUCCCCAUUGGACAUUCUCCCUCUACCACUCCAAGAGCGCAUCAAUUUGGACGCAAGUGCACGUGUGACUCAUCUCAAGAAGGUGCAUGA
This 321-nucleotide ribosomal RNA is filed under the name Triticum aestivum (bread wheat). Its description in RNAcentral is "partial small subunit ribosomal RNA". Lineage: Eukaryota; Viridiplantae; Streptophyta; Magnoliopsida; Poales; Poaceae. The record is from RNAcentral.